Molecule: ribosomal RNA, 388 nt
Filed under: uncultured bacterium
Lineage: Bacteria
Description: bacterial SSU rRNA
Rfam family: Bacterial small subunit ribosomal RNA
Source: RNAcentral
AUUGAACGCUGGCGGCGUGCUUAACACAUGCAAGUCGAGCGGUAAGGGCCCUUUCGGGGGUACACGAGCGGCGAACGGGUGAGCAACACGUGGGUGACCUGCCCUCAGCUCUGGGAUAAGCCUGGGAAACCGGGUCUAAUACUGGAUAUGACUCCAUGACGCAUGUUGUGGGGUGGAAAGCCUUGUGCGGCUGAGGAUGGGCCCGCGGCCUAUCAGCUUGUUGGGGGGUGAUGGCCUACCAAGGCGACGACGGGUAGCCGGCCUGAGAGGGCGACCGGCCACACUGGGACUGAGACACGGCCCAGACUCCUACGGGAGGCAGCAGUGGGGAAUCUUGCGCAAUGGGCGAAAGCCUGACGCAGCGACGCCGCGUGAGGGAUGACGGCCU